UUAAGCGACUAAGCGUACACGGUGGAUGCCCUGGCAGUCAGAGGCGAUGAAGGGCGUGCUAAUCUGCGAUAAGCGCCGGUAAGGUGAUAUGAACCGUUAUAACCGGCGAUACCCGAAUGGGGAAACCCAGUGUGACUCGUCACACUAUCAUUAACUGAAUCCAUAGGUUAAUGAGGCGAACCGGGGGAACUGAAACAUCUAAGUACCCCGAGGAAAAGAAAUCAACCGAGAUUCCCCCAGUAGCGGCGAGCGAACGGGGAGGAGCCCAGAGCCUGAAUCAGCAUGUGUGUUAGUGGAAGCGUCUGGAAAGGCGCGCGAUACAGGGUGACAGCCCCGUACACAAAAGCGCAUGUGCUGUGAGCUCGAUGAGUAGGGCGGGACACGUGGUAUCCUGUCUGAAUAUGGGGGGACCAUCCUCCAAGGCUAAAUACUCCUGACUGACCGAUAGUGAACCAGUACCGUGAGGGAAAGGCGAAAAGAACCCCGGCGAGGGGAGUGAAAAAGAACCUGAAACCGUGUACGUACAAGCAGUGGGAGCACCCUUUGGGGUGUGACUGCGUACCUUUUGUAUAAUGGGUCAGCGACUUAUAUUCUGUAGCAAGGUUAACCGAAUAGGGGAGCCGGAGGGAAACCGAGUCUUAACCGGGCGUUAAGUUGCAGGGUAUAGACCCGAAACCCGGUGAUCUAGCCAUGGGCAGGUUGAAGGUUGGGUAACACUAACUGGAGGACCGAACCGACUAAUGUUGAAAAAUUAGCGGAUGACCUGUGGCUGGGGGUGAAAGGCCAAUCAAACCGGGAGAUAGCUGGUUCUCCCCGAAAGCUAUUUAGGUAGCGCCUCGUGAAUUCAUCUCCGGGGGUAGAGCACUGUUUCGGCUAGGGGGCCAUCCCGGCUUACCAACCCGAUGCAAACUGCGAAUACCGGAGAAUGUUAUCACGGGAGACACACGGCGGGUGCUAACGUCCGUCGUGAAGAGGGAAACAACCCAGACCGCCAGCUAAGGUCCCAAAGUCAUGGUUAAGUGGGAAACGAUGUGGGAAGGCCCAGACAGCCAGGAUGUUGGCUUAGAAGCAGCCAUCAUUUAAAGAAAGCGUAAUAGCUCACUGGUCGAGUCGGCCUGCGCGGAAGAUGUAACGGGGCUAAACCAUGCACCGAAGCUGCGGCAGCGACGCUGAUGCGUUGUUGGGUAGGGGAGCGUUCUGUAAGCCUGCGAAGGUGGCCUGUGAGGGUUGCUGGAGGUAUCAGAAGUGCGAAUGCUGACAUAAGUAACGAUAAAGCGGGUGAAAAGCCCGCUCGCCGGAAGACCAAGGGUUCCUGUCCAACGUUAAUCGGGGCAGGGUGAGUCGACCCCUAAGGCGAGGCCGAAAGGCGUAGUCGAUGGGAAACGGGUUAAUAUUCCCGUACUUGGUGUUACUGCGAAGGGGGGACGGAGAAGGCUAUGUUGGCCGGGCGACGGUUGUCCCGGUUUAAGCGUGUAGGUGUGUGUUCCAGGUAAAUCCGGUUCACUUUAACACUGAGGCGUGACGACGAGGCACUACGGUGCUGAAGCAACAAAUGCCCUGCUUCCAGGAAAAGCCUCUAAGCAUCAGGUAACAUCAAAUCGUACCCCAAACCGACACAGGUGGUCAGGUAGAGAAUACCAAGGCGCUUGAGAGAACUCGGGUGAAGGAACUAGGCAAAAUGGUGCCGUAACUUCGGGAGAAGGCACGCUGACACGUAGGUGAAGUGAUUUACUCAUGGAGCUGAAGUCAGUCGAAGAUACCAGCUGGCUGCAACUGUUUAUUAAAAACACAGCACUGUGCAAACACGAAAGUGGACGUAUACGGUGUGACGCCUGCCCGGUGCCGGAAGGUUAAUUGAUGGGGUCAGCGCAAGCGAAGCUCCUGAUCGAAGCCCCGGUAAACGGCGGCCGUAACUAUAACGGUCCUAAGGUAGCGAAAUUCCUUGUCGGGUAAGUUCCGACCUGCACGAAUGGCGUAAUGAUGGCCAGGCUGUCUCCACCCGAGACUCAGUGAAAUUGAACUCGCUGUGAAGAUGCAGUGUACCCGCGGCAAGACGGAAAGACCCCGUGAACCUUUACUAUAGCUUGACACUGAACAUUGAGCCUUGAUGUGUAGGAUAGGUGGGAGGCUUUGAAGUGUGGACGCCAGUCUGCAUGGAGCCGACCUUGAAAUACCACCCUUUAAUGUUUGAUGUUCUAACGUGGACCCGUGAUCCGGGUUGCGGACAGUGUCUGGUGGGUAGUUUGACUGGGGCGGUCUCCUCCUAAAGAGUAACGGAGGAGCACGAAGGUUGGCUAAUCCUGGUCGGACAUCAGGAGGUUAGUGCAAUGGCAUAAGCCAGCUUGACUGCGAGCGUGACGGCGCGAGCAGGUGCGAAAGCAGGUCAUAGUGAUCCGGUGGUUCUGAAUGGAAGGGCCAUCGCUCAACGGAUAAAAGGUACUCCGGGGAUAACAGGCUGAUACCGCCCAAGAGUUCAUAUCGACGGCGGUGUUUGGCACCUCGAUGUCGGCUCAUCACAUCCUGGGGCUGAAGUAGGUCCCAAGGGUAUGGCUGUUCGCCAUUUAAAGUGGUACGCGAGCUGGGUUUAGAACGUCGUGAGACAGUUCGGUCCCUAUCUGCCGUGGGCGCUGGAGAACUGAGGGGGGCUGCUCCUAGUACGAGAGGACCGGAGUGGACGCAUCACUGGUGUUCGGGUUGUCAUGCCAAUGGCACUGCCCGGUAGCUAAAUGCGGAAGAGAUAAGUGCUGAAAGCAUCUAAGCACGAAACUUGCCCCGAGAUGAGUUCUCCCUGAGACUUAGAGUCUCCUGAAGGAACGUUGAAGACGACGACGUUGAUAGGCCGGGUGUGUAAGCGCAGCGAUGCGUUGAGCUAACCGGUACUAAUGAACCGUGAGGCUUAACCUU
Molecule: ribosomal RNA, 2904 nt
Filed under: Salmonella enterica subsp. enterica
Lineage: Bacteria; Pseudomonadati; Pseudomonadota; Gammaproteobacteria; Enterobacterales; Enterobacteriaceae
Description: bacterial LSU rRNA
Rfam family: Bacterial large subunit ribosomal RNA
Source: RNAcentral